AUGGUUCGUUGGACCGACAUCUGCAAACCUACGGACCAAGGUGGCCUCGGCAUCAUGUCCUCCAAACACAUGAACCUGGCCCUCCUGACGAGGUGGCUUUGGCGCAUUGCGAAUGGCGAGGGAGGUCUGUGGCUGCAAAUCAUCCGGAACAAAUACUUACGCGGCCAACCUCUUGCCUUCUGCCUUCGGACAGGGGGCUCCCAGUUCUAG
This 210-nucleotide ribosomal RNA is filed under the name Triticum aestivum (bread wheat). RNAcentral's name for it is "partial small subunit ribosomal RNA". The record is from RNAcentral. Lineage: Eukaryota; Viridiplantae; Streptophyta; Magnoliopsida; Poales; Poaceae.